GGUAAUGUAGCUCAGUGGUAGAGCAUUUGCCUGGCAUGCAUGAGGUCUGGGUACCCAGUAGAACAA
RNAcentral lists this transfer RNA (66 nucleotides) under Ictidomys tridecemlineatus (thirteen-lined ground squirrel). RNAcentral's name for it is "Spermophilus tridecemlineatus (thirteen-lined ground squirrel) tRNA". It matches the Rfam family "tRNA". Rfam says of the family: Transfer RNA (tRNA) molecules are approximately 80 nucleotides in length. Lineage: Eukaryota; Metazoa; Chordata; Mammalia; Rodentia; Sciuridae. The record is from Rfam by way of RNAcentral.